This 932-nucleotide long non-coding RNA is filed under the name Malus domestica (apple). RNAcentral's name for it is "long non-coding RNA (MDOM_LNC015003)". Lineage: Eukaryota; Viridiplantae; Streptophyta; Magnoliopsida; Rosales; Rosaceae. The record is from RNAcentral.
CUAUAAACACAUAUACAUAUAGGAAAUAGUUUUGCUCACCACUCUCAAGUGAUGAUAAUGUCACCAUCUUAUUUAUCACCGUUACGUCCGUUUAAAUUUCGGAAUCUAUGUAGUAGAUAGAUACUAAUCUCCAAAUAUAAAUUUACUCAAUUGUAAUAAAUAGAGUGAUAAGUAUUACUCCUACUUAAAGAUAACGAACAAAAAUGCACCCAUACAUAUAUAGCUAGAGCUAGCUAGCUAGCGAAAAGUGUGAAACUCUUCUCCCUCCCACCUAUAUACUGUUGAUUAUUGACAGAAAGCUAGAACAAGUUGUUACUUGACUCACGGCCACCUGACCCAAGAAUGUGGGGAGGGAUUCUUUCGGCCUACCCAAUGCCACUAUCCCCAAACCCUAAAAUAUUUAUAACCUAACCAGCUUUGUUAUCAUAUAGCUAAACUUAUGUAUUAUGUGCCACUAACUCCAUAAGAUUCUUCAUAUACUUAAUAAAAACUAUAUAAAGUUAGCAUACUAUUUCUAUAUGCAAUCACAACUGUAAAAGACUGUCAGGACUAACGGGAAGCUGACUAGUUGCACAUGGAGACGUUUUUUAGUCUUAAACUUGAAUCCCCUCCGGCUUUCUAUAUAUGUAUCUUGCGUUUCCCUUUGUCUACAGUGGCCAACUUGUUGUAAUAUAUUUAUUCUUUUCUAAAGUACUAAUUAAAGUUAAAAAAAUACUCUUUCUAAAUGUAAUCACUUUGAUUAGCGCGUGAUUAUGAUUUACAUAUUUCAAGAAAAUAUAUCUAGGCUAUGUAGCUUAGAAGGCAUGUAGGAUCCGUACCCUUUUCAAAUUUGCGGCUCCUGAAUUCAAAUAUAAAAAUUCCAAGGCUGCUAUUAGCACCAGAGGUCACACUCAAGAGGUAAGCAAGCAAAAAAAGCCAUGUGAUGUGGCUCA